ACGAUAAGGUCUGCAGCGUUGAGGACGGUAGUGAUGAUGUCGAUUCCUUGUCGGAUCAAUCACAAUCGGAAUCGGAUUCUGAAAUUAUUGAGACCAGAAGAAAGGUUACCUCACUCCCAAGACCCGCGAGUUUGAAUGCAUUUGAUAUAAUUUCGUUUUCACCCGGAUUUGAUCUUUCUGGGUUGUUUGAGGAUGGAGGGGAAGAGGCAAGAUUUGUGUCCAGUGCUCCGGUGUCGAAGAUUAUAUCGAAAUUAGAGGAGAUUGCAAAAUUGGUGAGUUUUACUGUGAGGAAGAAGGAUUGCAGGGUUAGUUUAG
This 315-nucleotide unclassified non-coding RNA is filed under the name Hevea brasiliensis (rubber tree). The record is from RNAcentral. Lineage: Eukaryota; Viridiplantae; Streptophyta; Magnoliopsida; Malpighiales; Euphorbiaceae.